UGGGGAAUCUUGCGCAAUGGGCGAAAGCCUGACGCAGCGACACCGCGUGGGGGACGAAGGCCUUUCAGGUCGUAAACCCCUUUCGGCAGGGACGAAGCGAUCUCGUGACGGUACCUGCAGAAGAAGCCUCGGCUAACUACGUGCCGGCAGCCGCGGUAACACGUAGGAGGCGAGCGUUGUCCGGAAUCAUUGGGCGUAAAGAGCGCGCAGGCGGCCCGGCAAGUCGGGUGUGAAAUCUCGGGGCUCAACCCCGGAACUGCAUCCGAUACUGCCGGGCUAGAGGUAGGUAGGGGAGAUCGGAAUUCCUGGUGUAGCGGUGAAAUGCGCAGAUAUCAGGAGGAACACCGGUGGCGAAGGCGGAUCUCUGGGCCUUACCUGACGCUCAGGCGCGAAAGCUAGGGGAGCGAACAGGAUUAGAUACCCUGGUAGUCCUAGCCGUAAACGUUGGGUGCUAGGUGUGGGCGGAUAUCGACCCCGUCCGUGCCGAAGCUAACGCAUUAAGCACCCGCCG
RNAcentral lists this ribosomal RNA (511 nucleotides) under uncultured Actinomycetes bacterium. RNAcentral describes it as "bacterial SSU rRNA". It matches the Rfam family "Bacterial small subunit ribosomal RNA", at positions 355 to 873 of the family's 1533-position model. Lineage: Bacteria; Bacillati; Actinomycetota; Actinomycetes. The record is from RNAcentral.